UAACUCAACUCAACUCAACUCA
Molecule: non-coding RNA, 22 nt
Filed under: Arabidopsis thaliana (thale cress)
Lineage: Eukaryota; Viridiplantae; Streptophyta; Magnoliopsida; Brassicales; Brassicaceae
Source: RNAcentral